Molecule: ribosomal RNA, 253 nt
Filed under: uncultured prokaryote
Description: partial 16S ribosomal RNA
Rfam family: Bacterial small subunit ribosomal RNA
Source: RNAcentral
UACGGGGGGGGCAAGCGUUGUUCGGAAUUACUGGGCGUAAAGGGCUCGUAGGCGGCCAACUAAGUCAGACGUGAAAUCCCCCGGCUUAACCGGGGAACUGCGUCUGAUACUGGAUGGCUUGAGUGUGGGAGAGGGAUGCGGAAUUCCAGGUGUAGCGGUGAAAUGCGUAGAGAUCCGGAAGAACACCGGUGGCGAAGGCGGCCUGCUGGGCAGUAGCUGACGCUGAUGCGCGACAGCGUGGGGAGCAAACAGG